RNAcentral lists this ribosomal RNA (431 nucleotides) under uncultured bacterium. Its description in RNAcentral is "bacterial SSU rRNA". It matches the Rfam family "Bacterial small subunit ribosomal RNA", at positions 29 to 507 of the family's 1533-position model. The record is from RNAcentral.
AACGAACGCUGGCGGCAGGCUUAACACAUGCAAGUCGAGCGCCCUGCAAGGGGAGCGGCAGACGGGUGAGUAACGCGUGGGAACGUACCUUUUGGUUCGGAACAACACAGGGAAACUUGUGCUAAUACCGGAUAAGCCCUUACGGGGAAAGAUUUAUCGCCGAAAGAUCGGCCCGCGUCUGAUUAGCUAGUUGGUGAGGUAAUGGCUCACCAAGGCGACGAUCAGUAGCUGGUCUGAGAGGAUGAUCAGCCACAUUGGGACUGAGACACGGCCCAAACUCCUACGGGAGGCAGCAGUGGGGAAUAUUGGACAAUGGGGGCAACCCUGAUCCAGCCAUGCCGCGUGAGUGAUGAAGGCCCUAGGGUUGUAAAGCUCUUUUGUGCGGGAAGAUAAUGACGGUACCGCAAGAAUAAGCCCCGGCUAACUUCGUG